RNAcentral lists this ribosomal RNA (468 nucleotides) under uncultured bacterium. RNAcentral's name for it is "partial 16S ribosomal RNA". It matches the Rfam family "Bacterial small subunit ribosomal RNA", at positions 28 to 507 of the family's 1533-position model. The record is from RNAcentral.
GACGAACGCUGGCGGCGUGCUUAACACAUGCAAGUCGAACGGUGAUGCUCCAGCUUGCUGGAGUGGAUCAGUGGCGAACGGGUGAGUAACACGUGAGCAACCUGCCCCAGACUCUGGAAUAAGCGCUGGAAACGGCGUCUAAUACUGGAUACGAAACUGGCCCGCAUGGGCAUGGUUUGGAAAGUUUUUCGGUUUGGGCUGGGCUCGCGGCCUAUCAGCUUGUUGGUGAGGUAAUGGCUCACCAAGGCGACGACGGGUAGCCGGCCUGAGAGGGCGACCGGCCACACUGGGACUGAGACACGGCCCAGACGCCUACGGGAGGCAGCAGUGGGGAAUAUUGCACAAUGGGCGAGAGCCUGAUGCAGCGACGCCGCGUGGGGGAUGACGGCCUUCGGGUUGUAAACCUCUUUCAGCAGGGAAGAAGCGAAAGUGACGGUACCUGCAGAAGAAGCACCGGCUAACUACGUG